Molecule: long non-coding RNA, 1546 nt
Filed under: Chrysemys picta bellii (western painted turtle)
Lineage: Eukaryota; Metazoa; Chordata; Testudines; Emydidae
Description: lncRNA (ENSCPBG00000009426.1)
Source: RNAcentral
ACCCCUCCCUCCAAUUCUCCCCGCGCGUUCCACCCAUCUCCCUGCAACCCCUUGUCGGUACCUGCCCGGCUCCCCUUCUCUGCGCGUGCCGCGGUUCCACACCCUUGGCUCUCCUAGCUCGGGCACGCGCAGUGCUUACCACUCUCGGGUGAACUCGGAAGCGGGCACCUGAAACCGUAUGGUGGCCGCAUAACGUCAGACGGAAGUGAUAAGCCGACGGGCUUGUACUUCCGGGCUAGCGCUGUGCUUGUGAGGGUGCUGAGUCUUGAGCCACGCUAUGUCGGGCAGAGACGGUAACGGGGUCUCUAGAAAGCUAGUGUCCCCUUUUCUCCUGCCGGCCCUUAGGGUUCGCUUUAAUGCGGCUAAAGGCUGAGCCCGUCCCAUGUCCCGGAUCGGCACUAGAGGAAACAGAGACUUGCUGGGCUUUGUGUUCCCGCCGUCCCUUCGUGCGUGGCUCUGGAGUGGGUGCCGCUCGCGCUCCCCCCCUUUUCCCUUUCUCCCCGUGAGGGCUCCGGGGCGAGCGCCGCUCUCCUCCCGCAAAGGGUCCGGGGGUGGGGGGCUCGCAUGCGAACACCCGGCUCUGCGCCUCACUGUUUCCUUUUCCUUUGGUGUAGGUGGUAAGAAGAAACCUCUGAAGCAACCGAAGAAACAGGCAAAGGACAUGGACGAGGAAGAUUUGGCCUUCAAGCAAAAACAGAAGGAAGAGCAGAAGAAACUUGAGGAGAUGAAGACAAAAGCUUCUGGGAAAGGCCCCCUUAGUAAGUGGCCCACUCAACUUUUCCUAUCCUUAAGGCAAGCCAGUUAUUAAGGAAUUAUCUUUAAUGUUUUUUGCUACACUGACAUAACAAGGACUAUGCUUUAGGUUAUUUUCAGGGCUGUCAAGCGAUUAAUUGCCGUUUUAAUCGCACUGUUAAACAAUAUAAGAAUACCAUUUAUUUAAAUAUUUUGGGGAGGUUUCUAUAUUUUCAAAUAUAGGGUCAGGGCUGGGGACUGGGGGCUCCAGCCCCCCUCUCCCACCCAUAGGGUUUGUGGCACAGGGCUCCAGUCCCCCCAUCACCCAGGAAGCUGUGGGUUGGGGCUGCUUCAGCCCCCCUGCCGCCAAUGUCUCCCACCCUGCCCCAGGUAUGCAAUUAACGUGUUAAGAAAGUUAAUGCAUUAAUUUUGCUUUCAGUUAAUUAAUUGCAGUUAAUGCCUGCACUUGACAGCCUUAGUUAUUUUACAUUCCAAAGUGAGCUGGUUUUAAUUGCAAAUUACUCAAGUUAUUAAACACACACAAGAAUAUAUGAGCAACAAAUGGAAACCAGAAUGAUUCAAUUAAGAUUUCUUACUUCAUCUGUUUUAGUUGUUUGAGCACCAGUCCUGAGUGAUUUACAAUAUUCAGUAUAACUAAACUUAUUACAAUCAAUUAGCUCAAUAGAUUCAUUGGUCUGCCUGGACAGACACAAACUAGUCCAUUCUAAUAACUGUGCCCGCUGACAAUCCCAUUACUUCUUCAUCUCGCCAACACCGUUUUAUUAUAAAAAUAAAAUUCUAUCUUAAAUGUGCA